CUACGGGGUGCUGCAGUGGGGAAUAUUGGACAAUGGGGGAAACCCUGAUCCAGCAAUGCCGCGUGUGUGAAGAAGGCCUGCGGGUUGUAAAGCACUUUCGGUUGGGAGGACUGCUUCUAGCACUAAUAUUGUUGGAAGUUUACGUUACCUUCAGAAGAAGCACCGGCUAACUCCGUGCCAGCAGCCGCGGUAAUACGGAGGGUGCAUGCGUUAAUCGGAAUUACGGGGCGUAAAGCGCGCGUAGGCGGCUAGAUCAGUCGGGUGUGAAAGCCCCGGGCUUAACCUGGGAACUGCAUCCGAUACUGGCUAGCUUGAGUACAGGAGAGGAGAGUGGAAUUCCACAUGUAGCGGUGAAAUGCGUAGAUAUGUGGAGGAACACCAAUGGCGAAGGCAGCUCUCUGGCCUGAUACUGACGCUGAGGUGCGAAAGCGUGGGGAGCAAACAGGAUUAGAUACCCGGGUAGUC
RNAcentral lists this ribosomal RNA (465 nucleotides) under uncultured bacterium. RNAcentral describes it as "partial 16S ribosomal RNA". It matches the Rfam family "Bacterial small subunit ribosomal RNA", at positions 339 to 795 of the family's 1533-position model. The record is from RNAcentral.